GCCCUCCUUUGUCAACGCCAGUCUUCUUGUUCAUUACCGACGUGCCAUUGAGAGGUCUUGGCUAAAUGUCCGAGCUCAUUUCCCUUCCUUAGAAAUGAUAGUCGCUGUCAUCACCAUCAUCACCUUCUGGCGCAGGACAUCUGGCCUGGGUUCUCCAAAGGAUCUAGGACCAUGAGGAACAAAGUAGGGGAGACAUCGCAGCCCGAUGCCAUACGCCAUGUUUGACCGGAUCCUGGACUGGGAAAAAAUAGAAGCCACAAAGAACGUUUGGGAGGCCACCAGGGAAACGUGAUGUUAGGUGUUAGGUGUUCGUGUUGUUCGUGUUAGGUGAUGUUGCCCA
This 340-nucleotide long non-coding RNA is filed under the name Felis catus (domestic cat). RNAcentral describes it as "lncRNA (ENSFCAG00000048630.1)". Lineage: Eukaryota; Metazoa; Chordata; Mammalia; Carnivora; Felidae. The record is from RNAcentral.